UUUACCAGACCCGGAAGGCGCGGGCCUUAGUGGCGGACGGGUGAGUAGCGCGUGGGGAACCUGCCCCGUACCGGGGGAUAACACCUGGAAACAGGUGCUAAUACCGCAUAACAGAAGGGGACGCAUGUUUCUUUCUUGAAAACUCCGGUGGUACGGGAUGGACCCGCGUCUGAUUAGCUGGUUGGCGGGGUAACGGCCCACCAAGGCGACGAUCAGUAGCCGGCCUGAGAGGGCGGACGGCCACAUUGGGACUGAGACACGGCCCAAACUCCUACGGAAGGCAGCAG
Molecule: ribosomal RNA, 287 nt
Filed under: uncultured bacterium
Lineage: Bacteria
Description: partial 16S ribosomal RNA
Rfam family: Bacterial small subunit ribosomal RNA
Source: RNAcentral